Molecule: ribosomal RNA, 429 nt
Filed under: Gemmatimonadota bacterium
Lineage: Bacteria; Pseudomonadati; Gemmatimonadota
Description: Gemmatimonadetes bacterium partial 16S ribosomal RNA
Rfam family: Bacterial small subunit ribosomal RNA
Source: RNAcentral
UAGGGAAUCUUCGGCAAUGGACGAAAGUCUGACCAAGCAACGCCGCGUGAGUGAAGAAGGUUUUCGGAUCGUAAAACUCUGUUGUUAGAGAAGAACAAGGACGUUAGUAACUGAACGUCCCCUGACGGUAUCUAACCAGAAAGCCACGGCUAACUCCGUGCCAGCAGCCGCGGUAAUACGUAGGUGGCAAGCGUUGUCCGGAUUUAUUGGGCGUAAAGCGAGCGCAGGCGGUUUCUUAAGUCUGAUGUGAAAGCCCCCGGCUCAACCGGGGAGGGUCAUUGGAAACUGGGAGACUUGAGUGCAGAAGAGGAGAGUGGAAUUCCAUGUGUAGCGGUGAAAUGCGUAGAUAUAUGGAGGAACACCAGUGGCGAAGGCGGCUCUCUGGUCUGUAACUGACGCUGAGGCUCGAAAGCGUGGGGAGCAAACAGG